RNAcentral lists this ribosomal RNA (429 nucleotides) under Gemmatimonadota bacterium. Its description in RNAcentral is "Gemmatimonadetes bacterium partial 16S ribosomal RNA". It matches the Rfam family "Bacterial small subunit ribosomal RNA", at positions 355 to 776 of the family's 1533-position model. Lineage: Bacteria; Pseudomonadati; Gemmatimonadota. The record is from RNAcentral.
UAGGGAAUCUUCGGCAAUGGACGAAAGUCUGACCGAGCAACGCCGCGUGAGUGAAGAAGGUUUUCGGAUCGUAAAACUCUGUUGUUAGAGAAGAACAAGGACGUUAGUAACUGAACGUCCCCUGACGGUAUCUAACCAGAAAGCAACGGCUAACUACGUGCCAGCAGCCGCGGUAAUACGUAGGUGGCAAGCGUUGUCCGGAUUUAUUGGGCGUAAAGCGAGCGCAGGCGGUUUCUUAAGUCUGAUGUGAAAGCCCCCGGCUCAACCGGGGAGGGUCAUUGGAAACUGGGAGACUUGAGUGCAGAAGAGGAGAGUGGAAUUCCAUGUGUAGCGGUGAAAUGCGUAGAUAUAUGGAGGAACACCAGUGGCGAAGGCGGCCCUCUGGUCUGUAACUGACGCUGAGGCUCGAAAGCGUGGGGAGCAAACAGG